RNAcentral lists this transfer RNA (65 nucleotides) under Eremias argus. RNAcentral's name for it is "tRNA-Lys". The record is from RNAcentral. Lineage: Eukaryota; Metazoa; Chordata; Lepidosauria; Squamata; Lacertidae.
CACUAAGAAGCUAAGCAGCAUUAGCCUUUUAAGCUAAAGAGGGGACACUUAGGUCCCCUUAGUGA